RNAcentral lists this microRNA precursor (76 nucleotides) under Hordeum vulgare. RNAcentral's name for it is "miR6183 stem-loop (hvu-MIR6183)". Lineage: Eukaryota; Viridiplantae; Streptophyta; Magnoliopsida; Poales; Poaceae. The record is from miRBase by way of RNAcentral.
GACAAAUUAUUGAGCGAGUUGGCUGCAAGUUCUGAAGUUAAUGAUAAUGGAGUCAGCUCGUUCGUCAUUGCUGUCA